This 1373-nucleotide ribosomal RNA is filed under the name uncultured organism. Its description in RNAcentral is "bacterial SSU rRNA". It matches the Rfam family "Bacterial small subunit ribosomal RNA", at positions 146 to 1489 of the family's 1533-position model. The record is from RNAcentral.
CCUUUGCGAAAGUGUGGCUAAUACCGGAUGACACCAUCGGAUCGCAUGGUCCGGUGAUCAAAGGUGGGGACCUUCGGGCCUGCCGGUUUGGGAUCAGCCUAUGUCCUAUCAGCUUGUUGGCGGGGUAACGGCCCACCAAGGCGACGACGGGUAGCGGGCGUGAGAGCGUGACCCGCCUCAUCGGGACUGAGACACUGCCCGGACACCUACGAGUGGCUGCAGUAACGAAUAUUGGGCAAUGGGCGCAAGCCUGACCCAGCAAUGCCGCGUGCAGGAGGAAGCCCUUCGGGGUGUAAACUGCUGUCAGGGUUUCGCAAGCAAGGCCGGUUAAUAGCCGGCGGCGCUGAGCAGACCCAGAGGAAGUCUCGGCUAACUCUGUGCCAGCAGCCGCGGUAAGACAGAGGAGGCGAGCGUUGUUCGGAAUUAUUGGGCUUAAAGCGCGUGUAGGCGGCUUGGUAAGUGUUCCGUGAAAGCCCACGGCUCAACCGUGGAACUGCGGGGCAUACUGCCCGGCUUGAGGUUGCUAGGGGUGCCUGGAACUCUAGGUGGAGCGGUGAAAUGCGUAGAUAUCUAGAGGAACGCCAGAGGCGAAAGCGAGGCACUGGAGCAAUUCUGACGCUGAGACGCGAAAGCGUGGGGAGCAAACAGGAUUAGAUACCCUGGUAGUCCACGCUGUAAACGAUGCACACUGGAUCUGGCGACUCUGACGGUUGCCGGGUCGUAGCGUAAGCGUUAAGUGUGCCGCCUGGGGACUACGGCCGCAAGGCUAAAACUCAAAGGAAUUGACGGGGGCUCACACAAGCGGUGGAGCAUGUGGCUUAAUUCGAAGCAACGCGAAGAACCUUACCCAGGUUUGACAUGCUUGGAUGCAAUCCGGGGAUAACUCGGUGCGCUGCCCUUCGGGGCGAAACUUGCACAGGUGUUGCAUGGCUGUCGUCAGCUCGUGCUGUGAAGUGUCGGGUUAAGUCCCUUAACGAGCGAAACCCCUAUCGUUAGUUGCCAGCGCGUAAUGGCGGGGACUCUAGCGAGACUGCCGGCGUUAAGCCGGAGGAAGGUGGGGACGGCGUCAAGUCAUCAUGGCCCUUAUGCCUGGGGAUGCACACGUGCUACAAUGGCGUAUACAGAGCGACGCAAGACCGCGAGGUGGAGCAAAUCGCACAAAGUACGCCUCAGUUCGGAUUGGAGUCUGCAACUCGACUCCAUGAAGUUGGAAUCGCUAGUAAUCGCGUAUCAGCUACGACGCGGUGAACGUGUUCCUGAGCCUUGUACACACCGCCCGUCAAGUCAUGGAAGCCGGUAGCACCCGAAGUCCGCUUAGCUAACCGCGAGGAGGCGGCGGCCGACGGUGAGACUGGUAACUGGGACUAAGUCGU